ACUCCUACGGGAGGCAGCAGUGGGAAUAUUGGACAAUGGGCGCAAGCCUGAUCCAGCCAUGCCGCGUGAGUGAUGAAGGCCUUAGGGUUGUAAAGCUCUUUUGUCCGGGAAGAUAAUGACUGUACCGGAAGAAUAAGCCCCGGCUAACUUCGUGCCAGCAGCCGCGGUAAUACGAAGGGGCGUAGCGUUGUUCGGAAUCACUGGGCGUAAAGCGCACGUAGGC
This 223-nucleotide ribosomal RNA is filed under the name uncultured bacterium. RNAcentral describes it as "partial 16S ribosomal RNA". It matches the Rfam family "Bacterial small subunit ribosomal RNA", at positions 335 to 576 of the family's 1533-position model. The record is from RNAcentral.